AGCUCCAAUAGCGUAUAUUAAUAUUGUUGCGGUUAAAAAGCUCAUAGUCUAAAUUCGAUCUACACUUGAUUAGUCUCCGUUUGCUUUAAUCGGCAUUCGGUUUAUAUGGUUAAUCUUAUAGUUGUAGUUCAUAAACUGAUAUUUGUUUAAUUGGAUGUGUCUAAUUAAAACAGUAUCAACGAUUACUUUGACUAAAUCAGAGUGAUCAAGACAGGUUCGUUUCGUUACGACCUUGAAUGCUCUAGCAUGGAAUAAUAGAAAAGGACUCGUUUGGGUCUGGUGAAGUGUUUAUGUUCACGCAUACUAUGGUCUCCAGUACCUCGAGUAAUGAUUAAAAGGGAUUGACGGGGGCAGUCGUAUUGCUGGGCUAGCGGUGAAAUGCAAUGACCCUGGUAAGACGUCCUAAAGCGAAAGCAUCUGCCUAGGAUGUUUUCA
RNAcentral lists this ribosomal RNA (435 nucleotides) under uncultured eukaryote. RNAcentral's name for it is "SSU rRNA". It matches the Rfam family "Eukaryotic small subunit ribosomal RNA", at positions 587 to 972 of the family's 1831-position model. The record is from RNAcentral.